ACCACUGUGAUGUAGUGAUUUGAGUGUUGGACUGUGACUCAGGAGGCCAGGGUUCGAAUCCCUGCUAGGUCA
This is a non-coding RNA of Phrynosoma platyrhinos (Desert horned lizard), 72 nucleotides long. NCBI's taxonomy places the organism in Eukaryota, Metazoa, Chordata, Lepidosauria, Squamata, Phrynosomatidae. The record is from the annotation of a GenBank genome assembly.